UACGGGGGGAGCAAGCGUUGUUCGGAUUUACUGGGCGUAAAGGGCGCGUAGGCGGUCAGCACAAGUCAGUUGUGAAAUCUCCGGGCUUAACUCGGAAAGGUCAACUGAUACUGUGCGACUAGAGUGCAGAAGGGGCAACUGGAAUUCUCGGUGUAGCGGUGAAAUGCGUAGAUAUCGAGAGGAACACCUGCGGCGAAGGCGGGUUGCUGGGCUGACACUGACGCUGAAGUGCGAAAGCUAGGGGAGCAAACAGG
Molecule: ribosomal RNA, 254 nt
Filed under: uncultured bacterium
Lineage: Bacteria
Description: partial 16S ribosomal RNA
Rfam family: Bacterial small subunit ribosomal RNA
Source: RNAcentral